RNAcentral lists this long non-coding RNA (2697 nucleotides) under Bemisia tabaci. Its description in RNAcentral is "lncRNA ENSASIAIIG008960". Lineage: Eukaryota; Metazoa; Arthropoda; Insecta; Hemiptera; Aleyrodidae. The record is from RNAcentral.
UCUUUUUUUUCAUUUCCCUGUAAAUCAAUUAAUGCUUCUUUUGACUCAAUUCUAUCUCUUGUAGUGUAAUGUGAAGCCAAGACCAACAAUUGAAUAUUGUAGUGCAUCUAGAGCACUUGCAAAGAAAUCUGUGAGUAGCAGCACUGCGGAUAAGAGCGAUGAGUUCUUGAGUGGAUAUGCUGGUACAUCGAGUACUCCUUCAGCCACCAAGAAACGAGAGGCUGAUAAACCUAUGUCAUUGUUCGAACGUCUCGAACUAUCUAGUCAAAAGACAUUCCAAGCACCGGAGCGUGAAGAGUUACCAGCAAUUAGUUGUUCAUCAAGUGAGCCUGAUGUAAAGAGACCAAAACUAACUGUGAAAAAUUUAAAAUUACACGAUAUUGAGUUUGCUCGGAAAAUGAAGAAGAAAACUCAAGAAGAAAGAAAUGAUAGUAUUAAAAAUUAUUUGAUUCAAGUAAAAUCAUCAAUUCCAGCCAAUGAAUACGGUAUCUUUAGUGUGACCAUUUGCAAGUAUGCUCAUGCGCAAGCAACAUUUUCUGAGCUGAUCGAAGUACUGAAGCAAGUUUUUCCAUAUGAAAAUAAAGAAUUACGCCCAUUAUUCAAAAAAUUCAAACCUUUUUUGAAGACGGAACAUUUGAAACUUUUUGAAGAAGAGGUAUCAUCUUACCAAAAUUCAUCUCAAGUUCCUUCCAUUUCUAUCAAUGAACCAUCUUAGCAUUUGUUUAUUUUCUUUUUCUUGAUGCAUCUGUAGAUUUUAAUGUCAGCUCUAGGUUCAAAGACUUCAGAAAGAACUUGAGAAAAAAGAAUUUUAAAGAAUCAAUAUAGCAAGUAGGUUCAUUUUAAAGGUGAACGCUAUUAUCUUAUUAGACAAUUUAUCAUUUCAAAUGAAUGUGUUGGGCUCAACCCUUCGUCUUUUAAAGUUUUUAAAAAUAAAUGUUUUUUAACUGAAUGUUCAAGUGAGAAGGAAUGGAAUCCUCCUUUUCAUUUAUUUUCAAUAUUAGUGCAUUUCGACUACAUGCUUCUAGCAAAUUAUGCUUAUUUUUAAAUUAGUAGCCACAAUUAUGAGAUCACCCAUAUCUUUUGGGAAAUUAAUAGCAUAUGAAUUGCUUCUGUGAUAGACGGGAAACAUGGAAACAUUCAUUCAUAUUUUAAAAUUACCAUCCAAAUUGUGAUGAAAUAUCUCAGAAAUUCUGUUCUAUAAAUAUACUCUGGCAGUUUUUAAAAAUCAGCUGCACUCACAACUGUACUAACUUUCCUAUGAAUGAAGAGCCCCCGAGUUCAAUUUUCUAAAGGUGUGAUAUAGUAUUAGUGAACUUGUAACUAUGAGUAAAUUCUGGUCUUCCAGACUUUCACAUAUAUUUUUUUAGUUUCAAAAUGACACAGUUUUUUUCAGAUGAAAAGUUAAAAGUAGAAAUCGAGUGAAACUACCUACUUACAAAAUUGGAUUUUUUUUUUCUUUUUUUAUAUAUGAUUUUUAGGCGUUUUAUCUGAGAGAUACUGCGGCUUUGGAUGGGAGCUGAGAAUAAUUGGAGGGUGAGAAAGUUAGAUUAAAACGUAAAUUUCCCUAUACUGCAGUUUUGUUGGUUUCCAACCAAUUUUAAAUCCUCUUCGAUAAGAGGUAGCUGAAAUUCUCUCAAACAUGUUGACAUGACUGCGAUUUUCGCCAGUCCUAAAUUAGCUGAUUGGUGCAUUACAGGUGUUAAGGACAGUGACUGACUUAAAUGGAGCUUACUAUUAGCCUCGUCUCGUUUCUUACUCUUUUGAGUUUUUCAUUUGUCAAUCAUGCAUGUUCAUCCUUUUCAUCAAAAAUUUAACCCAUUUUAAGUUACGAAUGUACAGGAAGAUUUUUAUUGCUAACAAGACUGUGUAAAGUCAUCGCAUGAUCUAAUCGUCUUUGAAAAGAGUGUAAUUUCAAAAUAUAUCGCUGCUGUAAACUAAUAUAAUAUAAAAUCAUUAAGAAAAAAAAUUGAGGAAAUAGUGAGCACAACAACUUUCUUUUCACCAGAUUCAAAAUUGGUUAAAAAUCAUCAGGACUACAGCAUGGGGAAACUUACUCUUUGAUCCACAUAAAUAUCAGGUCUGAUCCAUAGAGGAAGUUAGUACCCUCUCUAAUAGAUUUUUUCAAAGACCAAAAACUAAGGCUAAAGGCUGAAAUGGCUGUCGAGAAGAUUCGGAAAAUAUCGUGACAUUCUAACUUUGUACAUUGCUUAUUGUCUUUUGUUAUUUUAAUUUAUCAUUGAUAGAGAUCACAACAAUUUUUUGUUAACUUUCUUCAACUUUUAGAUUGUAUUUUACUAUUUUCGAUACUUUUUUGACAAAAUAAAAAAGCCAUCUAGUUUUUUUGAAAAAAAAAGAAAAAUUAAGAUGUUUAAUUACCCAAAAUCCUAUAGCUGAGUGGAUAAAGGUGAAUAAUUAAAUGUGACAGUCUGCAGGGAAGGGCGCCUUUAUCCACAAAAACUCAAAUUGAAUUACUCAUGCUAGAGCACAGCAUUAUUCCACAAUUAUUUUAAGGCAAAAUAUGCAUAAAAAAGUCAAACCAAACUGGAGUUGGGGCGGUUUGAAGUUUGCAGUUCAAAAACGGAAUUUCAAGCAAGUACAAUUCACACAGGUCAGUCAUACCCAUGAAUGUGCAUUGAGACCCUACAGGGCAUUGGCAUUGGGAAGUUUAAGUACAAUUGGUUCCAGAAUUAUUAUUAA